AUGAUCGAGGUGGGCGACUACGGUGAAAUUCUGUCAGAUGACACAAUACAUGCUCUGCAACUGCUCGACCCACCAGAAGCUCAAGAACCAGACUGUUGUUCGCUAUCCCACCAUGCCAUCUCCGGCGAGGAAGCACCCUCUACCAUGCGCCUCCGAGCUCAAGUAGGGGAUCAGGUGAUGUUGUUGUUGGUCGAUUCAGGUAGUACCCACAGUUUCGUCAGCGAGUCAUUCCUCUCACGGUUGUCUGUCCAAACUGAACCUCUGCCGCCAGUCUCUGUUCGUGUUGCGAAUGGCCAGCGCCUGCAUUGUGACAAGAUCGUCAUAUCACUGCAAUGGGAAGUGUCGGGGCACACUUUCCACACCGAUCUGCGUGUGCUCCAACUCAGUGCGUAUGACGGGGUACUAGGCAUGGAUUGGCUGUCGCAGCACAGCCCUAUGAAUUGUCACUGGCAACUGAAGACGAUCUCCUUCCAGGUUGGCGAUAAAACAGUGCAUCUCUGA
This 501-nucleotide ribosomal RNA is filed under the name Triticum aestivum (bread wheat). RNAcentral describes it as "partial small subunit ribosomal RNA". The record is from RNAcentral. Lineage: Eukaryota; Viridiplantae; Streptophyta; Magnoliopsida; Poales; Poaceae.